CUUUCCUUCUUCUUAUGUUUCUUCUCUUCCCCUGUUCUUUCUCUUAUGCUAGUGAUUGAGAGAUCAAGUAGAGGUUUUGUAACCGGUAGGAGUUGGAGGAGAUGAUGGAGUAGUUGAUGGUGGUGGUGUUGUUGCUGUUUGAGUUUAGGAGGAAGUUGAAUCGAGAAAUCAGUAAGUUAGGGUUUUUGGAUUUGAAGUUAGAUUUGUAUAGAACUAACGAUGAUGAUUUCGAGUUGAUAAUGGAUGAAGAUUAAAUGGGUUGAUGUUGUAUUAAUGAUAAGAAGUUAUUCUAAAGAUGAAUUGAAGAAUCAAAGAGCUAGGGUUUCUAUGAAUUCAUUGGAGUUCGAUUUAAGUGAUGAUUAAGAAGAAUUAUUGGAUGGGUUUGGUCGAUUUGAGGACUUGAAUUAGUGGUUUGAGCAGAAGUGAGGGUUAGGGGAUUAUUUGGAAUUUUCACAGUUGAUGUUUUUGCAUCUGAUCAGAAGAGGAAGGAGGAAGCAACUUCAGUUAUGAUUUUAAAUGAAAACCUCGGAUUCAUGGAUUGAAAUUACAAGUGAAGAAUAUUCCUAAGAUGUGUAUGAGGAUAAGUGUUGGUAGAGAACAUGAAAGGUUAGAGCUCAUUCUUGAGAUGAGAAAAUACAGGAAGAAGUGAACUGUUGUUGAAGUUAAUGAAACUGGUAGUAAUUCAGUUGAAUUGUAGAUACUGGUUUUAUGGUGUAGUGAAGUCUGGUGGUGUAUAUGUGUAGUAAGUUGGAAGAAUAAAUGAUAAUAAUGCUCCUAUAACGAAGUUUCAAUGGUUGUAUCUGAAGAAGGUUCGAUGAUUGUUGUUGCAGCUGUGAUGACUGUGAUUAUGAAGUUAUUGUAAUUAGUUUGGUAGUAGUGACUGUUGGGGUGAAUUGCAGGGAGAUGAAAUUAGAUGAAUGUAUAUGAGGAAAAUGUUGUCGAAGUUAACUGUGGUAUUGUAAGGUGAAGGGGUAUGUGUAGAUGAAUAUUGUUCUAGAUUAGUGUUUUUGUGUGGUGUUGCAGCUCAUGGAAUUGGUGGAGUAAUGUUAUCUGAGUGGCUGAUGGAGGAUUAAGAACUGUUUUGAGAGUUACAGUUGCAACUUGUUGAACUGAUGGAGAUUAGGUAAAUGUAUAGGGAAUGGUAUUGGUGUGGGAUGUUAGUAGUUCUAUUGAUUGAGUUGCAGUUGAAGUUAAUGAAUGCGGCUGGUGUUACGGUUGUUACUUAGGGCUGUAAAUGCAAAGGAGUUAAAGUGUUGAAUGUUGUAUGGGAUUGAAAUUGCAAGUGGAAGUAAUCUGAGAUUAUAUGAAUGAGAUGAUAUGUGACUGAAGCUUUGUAUUGAGGAUUGGAUGAAUGUGUUGAGAUGAUCUGUGUAUGGUUUAAAGCUGCAAUUGCAGGUAAACUGAAAUUGUAUUUGUAAAUGAAUUAUGAAGUUUGAUUUGAGAAAGUUUAUCGCUAAUAAUUGUAGUUGUUGAAUUGUA
Molecule: long non-coding RNA, 1479 nt
Organism: Papaver somniferum (opium poppy)
Lineage: Eukaryota; Viridiplantae; Streptophyta; Magnoliopsida; Ranunculales; Papaveraceae
Exons: 2
Source: RefSeq, a predicted model, not a curated record